CAUAAUCUCUACGGAGAAAAGCAGGGGAUCGCAAGACCUUGCGCUCUUGGAGCGGCCGAUGUCUGAUUAGCUAGUUGGUGAGGUAAAGGCUUACCAAGGCGACGAUCAGUAGCUGGUCUGAGAGGACGACCAGCCACACUGGGACUGAGACACGGCCCAGACUCCUACGGGAGGCAGCAGUGGGGAAUUUUGGACAAUGGGGGAAACCCUGAUCCAGCCAUGCCGCGUGAGUGAAGAAGGCCUUCGGGUUGUAAAGCUCUUUCAGCCGGAACGAAACGGUCACGGCUAAUACCUGUGAUCACUGACGGUACCGGAAGAAGAAG
Molecule: ribosomal RNA, 323 nt
Filed under: uncultured beta proteobacterium
Lineage: Bacteria; Pseudomonadati; Pseudomonadota; Betaproteobacteria
Description: bacterial SSU rRNA
Rfam family: Bacterial small subunit ribosomal RNA
Source: RNAcentral